AACGAACGCUGGCGGCAGGCCUAACACAUGCAAGUCGAGCGCGUAGCAAUACGAGCGGCGCACGGGAUAGUAACGCGUGGGAACCUACCUUUCGGUUCGGAAUAACAUCGGGAAACUGGUGCUAAUACCGGAUACGCCCUUCGGGGGAAAGAUUUAUUGCCGAUAGAUGGGACCGCGUUGGAUUGGCUAGUUGGUGAGGUAACGGCUCACCAAGGCAACGAUCCAUAGCUGGUCUGAGAGGAUGAUCAGCAUCACUGGGACUGAGACACGGCCCAGACUCCUACGGGAGACAGCAGUGGGGAAUAUUGGACAAUGGGGGCAACCCUGAUCCAGCCAUGCCGCGUGAAUGAUGAAGGCCUUCGGGUUGUAAAGUUCUUUUGGUGGGGACGAUGAUGACGGUACCCACAGAAUAAGCUCCGGCUAACUUCGUGCCAGCCGCCGCGGUAA
This 447-nucleotide ribosomal RNA is filed under the name uncultured bacterium. RNAcentral's name for it is "partial 16S ribosomal RNA". It matches the Rfam family "Bacterial small subunit ribosomal RNA", at positions 29 to 523 of the family's 1533-position model. The record is from RNAcentral.